AUUGAACGCUGGCGGCAUGCCUUACACAUGCAAGUCGAACGGCAGCACGGGAGCAAUCCUGGUGGCGAGUGGCGAACGGGUGAGUAAAGCAUCGGAACGUGCCCAGUCGUGGGGAUAACGUAGCGAAAGUUACGCUAAUACCGCAUACGAUCUAUGGAUGAAAGCGGGGGACCGCAAGACCUCGCGCGAUUGGAGCGGCCGAUAUCAGAUUAGGUAGUUGGUGGGGUAAAGGCUCACCAAGCCGACGAUCUGUAGCUGGUCUGAGAGGACGACCAGCCACACUGGGACUGAGACACGGCCCAGACUCCUACGGGAGGCAGCAGUGGGGAAUUUUGGACAAUGGGCGCAAGCCUGAUCCAGCCAUGCCGCGUGCAGGAUGAAGGCCUUCGGGUUGUAAACUGCUUUUGUACGGAACGAAAAGGUUUGACUUAAUACGUUGGACUCAUGACGGUACCGUAAGAAUAAGCACCGGCUAACUCCGUGCCAGCCGCCGCCGUAA
RNAcentral lists this ribosomal RNA (499 nucleotides) under uncultured bacterium. RNAcentral describes it as "partial 16S ribosomal RNA". It matches the Rfam family "Bacterial small subunit ribosomal RNA", at positions 30 to 523 of the family's 1533-position model. The record is from RNAcentral.